This 552-nucleotide ribosomal RNA is filed under the name uncultured Acinetobacter sp. RNAcentral's name for it is "bacterial SSU rRNA". It matches the Rfam family "Bacterial small subunit ribosomal RNA", at positions 67 to 538 of the family's 1533-position model. Lineage: Bacteria; Pseudomonadati; Pseudomonadota; Gammaproteobacteria; Moraxellales; Moraxellaceae. The record is from RNAcentral.
UGAGCGACACGGUGCUUGACAUUAGCCUUACGGCGUGACGGGUGAGUAAUGCUAUAGGAAUCUGCCUAUUAGUCGGGGGACAACUGUUUCGAAAGGAACGCUAAUACCUGCAUACGUCCUACGCGGAGAAAAGCAGGGAGAUCUUCGGACCUUGUGCUAAUAGAUUGACGCCUAAAGAUCGGAUUAGCUAGUUGGUGGGGUAAAGGCCUACCAAGGCGACGAUCUGUAGCGGGUCUGAGAGGAUGAUCCAGCCACACUGGGACUGAGACACUGGCCCAGACUCCUACGGGAGUGCAAGCAGUGGGGAAUAUUGGACAAUGGGCGAAAGCCUGAUCCAGCCAUGCCGCGUGUGUGAAGAAGGCCUUUUGGUUGUAAAGCACUUUAACGCGAGGAGGAGGCUUCUUUGGUUAAUACCCAAAGUCAAGUGGACGUUACUCGCAGACAUAAGCACCGGCAUAACUCUGUGCCAGCAGCCGACGGUAACACAGAGGGUGCAAGACGUUAAAUCGAGAUUUACUGGGCCGUCCACAGCGUGCGUCAGGACGGCUACUU